AGAGUUUGAUCCUGGCUCAGGACGAACGCUGGCGGCAUGCUUAACACAUGCAAGUGGAGCGACGAACCGGGGCUUGCCCGGGGCAGAGCCGCGAACGGGUGAGUAACACGUGGGUAACCCACCCCGAUGACCGGGACAACCCGAGGAACCUCGGGCUAAUACCGGAUGUGGUCGCCUUUUAUAAGGGAGACGACUAAAGAUAGCUUCGGCCUUCGCAACGGGACGGGCCCGCGGCCCAUUAGCUUGUUGGUGGGUUAACGGCCUACCAAGGCUCCGAUGGGUAGCUGGUCUGAGAGGACGAUCAGCCACACUGGAACUGAGACACGGUCCAGACUCCUACGGGAGGCAGCAGUGGGGAAUCUUGCACAAUGGGCGACAGCCUGAUGCAGCAAUGCCGCGUGAGGGAAGACGGCCUUCGGGUUGUAAACCUCUUUCAGUUGGGACGAAGCUUCGUCGGUUAAUAGCCGGCCGGAGUGACGGUACCUUCAGAAGAAGCUCCGGCUAACUACGUGCCAGCAGCCGCGGUAAUACGUAGGGAGCAAGCGUUGUCCGGAAUCAUUGGGCGUAAAGCGCGUGUAGGCGUCCGGUAAGUCCGCUGUGAAAGUCGGAGGCUCAACCUUCGAAAGCCGAUGGAUACUGUGGACUUGAGUACGGAAGAGGAGAGUGGAAUUCCUGGUGUAGCGGUGAAAUGCGCAGAUAUCAGGAGGAACACCAACGGCGAAGGCAGCUCUCUGGGACGUUACUGACGCUGAGACGCGAAAGCGUGGGGAGCAAACAGGAUUAGAUACCCUGGUAGUCCACGCCGUAAACGAUGGUCACUAGAUGUGGGGGGUGUCGACUCCCUCCGUGUCGUAGCUAACGCGUUAAGUGACCCGCCUGGGGAGUACGGCCGCAAGGCUAAACUCAAAUGAAUUGACGG
This 919-nucleotide ribosomal RNA is filed under the name uncultured bacterium. Its description in RNAcentral is "bacterial SSU rRNA". It matches the Rfam family "Bacterial small subunit ribosomal RNA", at positions 8 to 916 of the family's 1533-position model. The record is from RNAcentral.